Molecule: non-coding RNA, 556 nt
Organism: Epinephelus moara (kelp grouper)
Lineage: Eukaryota; Metazoa; Chordata; Actinopteri; Perciformes; Serranidae
Source: the annotation of a RefSeq genome assembly
UGAGAGCAGAGAAAUGAUUUCCAUAGAGAGGAGGCUUUGCAUGGUCAGCUGAUCCUCCAGUGAAGUGAGAAGGUUUAUAGUCCUGUGAGUUCAACACUGCAGGACUCAGAUGUGUCAGUCAACACAGCAGAAAGCACAAGCACCAUGACUCUCAUCACCAUCCUCAUCUGGACGCUGGCCUGCUGCUGUUUCACAGGAUGCAGCGCUCAGGUGACUGUGACUCAGCCUCCAGUGGUGACAUUUACUCCAGGAUCCACUGUCACUCUCACCUGUAAGACCAGCCAAAAUGUUGCAACUUGUAGUGGUGCUCAGUGUAUGUACUGGUACCAACAGAAAUCUGGACAGCCUCCAACCAUCCUUAUAAAAUCAGCAAACAUCAGACAUUCAGGAACACCAGCUCGGUUUAGUGGCAGUGGAAGCAGCUCUGACUUCACUUUGACCAUCAGUGGAGUUCAGACUGAAGAUGCAGCAGUUUAUUACUGUAAGAGUGUUCAUGUCAUAAGCAGUGUUGAUGUGUUCACACAGUGAUUUGUCGUCGUACAAAAACCUCCCUCAG